CGGUAGAGAGAAGCUUGCUUCUCUUGAGAGCGGCGGACGGGUGAGUAAUGCCUAGGAAUCUGCCUGGUAGUGGGGGAUAACGUUCGGAAACGGACGCUAAUACCGCAUACGUCCUACGGGAGAAAGCAGGGGACCUUCGGGCCUUGCGCUAUCAGAUGAGCCUAGGUCGGAUUAGCUAGUUGGUGAGGUAAUGGCUCACCAAGGCGACGAUCCGUAACUGGUCUGAGAGGAUGAUCAGUCACACUGGAACUGAGACACGGUCCAGACUCCUACGGGAGGCAGCAGUGGGGAAUAUUGGACAAUGGGCGAAAGCCUGAUCCAGCCAUGCCGCGUGUGUGAAGAAGGUCUUCGGAUUGUAAAGCACUUUAAGUUGGGAGGAAGGGCAGUUACCUAAUACGUAAUUGUUUUGACGUUACCGACAGAAUAAGCACCGGCUAACUCUGUGCCAGCAGCCGCGGUAAUACAGAGGGUGCAAGCGUUAAUCGGAAUUACUGGGCGUAAAGCGCGCGUAGGUGGUUAGUUAAGUUGGAUGUGAAAUCCCCGGGCUCAACCUGGGAACUG
Molecule: ribosomal RNA, 561 nt
Filed under: Pseudomonas veronii
Lineage: Bacteria; Pseudomonadati; Pseudomonadota; Gammaproteobacteria; Pseudomonadales; Pseudomonadaceae
Description: bacterial SSU rRNA
Rfam family: Bacterial small subunit ribosomal RNA
Source: RNAcentral